AUUGAACGCUGGCGGCAGGCUUAACACAUGCAAGUCGAGCGGGGUGAUGGUGCUUGCACUAUCACUUAGCGGCGGACGGGUGAGUAAUGCUUAGGAAUCUGCCUAUUAGUGGGGGACAACAUCUCGAAGGGGAUGCUAAUACCGCAUACGUCCUACGGGAGAAAGCAGGGGAUCACUUGUGACCUUGCGCUAAUAGAUGAGCCUAAGUCGGAUUAGCUAGUUGGUGGGGUAAAAGCCUACCAAGGCGACGAUCUGUAGCGGGUCUGAGAGGAUGAUCCGCCACACUGGGACUGAGGCACGGCCCAGACUCCUACGGGAGGCAGCAGUGGGGAAUAUUGGACAAUGGGGGGAACCCUGAUCCAGCCAUGCCGCGUGUGUGAAGAAGGCCUUAUGGUUGUAAAGCACUUUAAGCGAGGAGGAGGCUCUUUUGGUUAAUACCCAAGAUGAGUGGACGUUACUCGCAGAAUAAGCACCGGCUAACUCUGUGCCAGCCGCCGCCGUAA
This 503-nucleotide ribosomal RNA is filed under the name uncultured bacterium. RNAcentral's name for it is "partial 16S ribosomal RNA". It matches the Rfam family "Bacterial small subunit ribosomal RNA", at positions 30 to 523 of the family's 1533-position model. The record is from RNAcentral.